This 1004-nucleotide ribosomal RNA is filed under the name Salmonella enterica. Its description in RNAcentral is "partial 23S ribosomal RNA". It matches the Rfam family "Bacterial large subunit ribosomal RNA", at positions 1930 to 2925 of the family's 2925-position model. The record is from RNAcentral. Lineage: Bacteria; Pseudomonadati; Pseudomonadota; Gammaproteobacteria; Enterobacterales; Enterobacteriaceae. RNAcentral also lists the same sequence under 2 other names.
GCGGCCGUAACUAUAACGGUCCUAAGGUAGCGAAAUUCCUUGUCGGGUAAGUUCCGACCUGCACGAAUGGCGUAAUGAUGGCCAGGCUGUCUCCACCCGAGACUCAGUGAAAUUGAACUCGCUGUGAAGAUGCAGUGUACCCGCGGCAAGACGGAAAGACCCCGUGAACCUUUACUAUAGCUUGACACUGAACAUUGAGCCUUGAUGUGUAGGAUAGGUGGGAGGCUUUGAAGUGUGGACGCCAGUCUGCAUGGAGCCGACCUUGAAAUACCACCCUUUAAUGUUUGAUGUUCUAACGUGGACCCGUAAUCCGGGUUGCGGACAGUGUCUGGUGGGUAGUUUGACUGGGGCGGUCUCCUCCUAAAGAGUAACGGAGGAGCACGAAGGUUGGCUAAUCCUGGUCGGACAUCAGGAGGUUAGUGCAAUGGCAUAAGCCAGCUUGACUGCGAGCGUGACGGCGCGAGCAGGUGCGAAAGCAGGUCAUAGUGAUCCGGUGGUUCUGAAUGGAAGGGCCAUCGCUCAACGGAUAAAAGGUACUCCGGGGAUAACAGGCUGAUACCGCCCAAGAGUUCAUAUCGACGGCGGUGUUUGGCACCUCGAUGUCGGCUCAUCACAUCCUGGGGCUGAAGUAGGUCCCAAGGGUAUGGCUGUUCGCCAUUUAAAGUGGUACGCGAGCUGGGUUUAGAACGUCGUGAGACAGUUCGGUCCCUAUCUGCCGUGGGCGCUGGAGAACUGAGGGGGGCUGCUCCUAGUACGAGAGGACCGGAGUGGACGCAUCACUGGUGUUCGGGUUGUCAUGCCAAUGGCACUGCCCGGUAGCUAAAUGCGGAAGAGAUAAGUGCUGAAAGCAUCUAAGCACGAAACUUGCCCCGAGAUGAGUUCUCCCUGAGACUUAGAGUCUCCUGAAGGAACGUUGAAGACGACGACGUUGAUAGGCCGGGUGUGUAAGCGCAGCGAUGCGUUGAGCUAACCGGUACUAAUGAACCGUGAGGCUUAACCUUACA